GGGAGCCGGACUUCGUCUACAGAAAGCCUUUGACUGGGCUCCUACAGCGAAUGGCCCUCGCCUAUAGUACUAACGCUUAAGGCACCCGACGGUAGACGGUCCGCCAGCAACAUCCGAGCUCCUUUCAGAUGGAUAACCACCUCUCUCCGUCGGGCACUUCAACCAAACUUCGGUCGACAGGCCUAGACUCCCUGACAGGCCACAGUAACAUCCACUACUCUGCUCCACCUCCUGCGACGGAUUCUGCGUGGCUCCAUCAUUCCCCGUAAUGGGCUCCACACGGCAGGCCGCAGUAACGGCCACGACUCUGCUCCACUUCCUGCGACGGAUUCUGCGUGGCUCCAUCACUCCCUGGCAGACCACAAUAAUGGCCACGAUUCUGCUUCACUUCCUGCGACGGAUACCGCGCGGUUCCUCCACCCUCUGGCAAGUCGCGACAACGGACGCUGCUCCACUCCCCGCAACAGACUCCACAUGGCAUGUCCCGGUGAUGGCCACGAUUCCACUCCACUACUCUUCGCAACAAACUCUUCCUGACCCUGGACAGCCCACUGCC
RNAcentral lists this long non-coding RNA (556 nucleotides) under Elaeis guineensis (African oil palm). Its description in RNAcentral is "long non-coding RNA (EGUI_LNC078992)". Lineage: Eukaryota; Viridiplantae; Streptophyta; Magnoliopsida; Arecales; Arecaceae. The record is from RNAcentral.